UGCCCGCGCCGCGCGGCGCCUUCUUGCUUCGACAAUCAAGGCGCGAACACGUAUCCAAAUAUUUUUUAUUAGAAGAAAGAUAGUUUUUACAACUUGACAACAGUGAAGAAAGGUGAAGAAUUUAUACCUUUACGUGGAUUAAAAUUUAUUUAUUUCUUGCAACGUGUGAGUCGGCUUUGUGACGGUCAGUGAACAGUGCGGAUUUUCAACAAGAUUUCAAAGAAAAUUCGAUUUGAAAUUAAGAAGUCGACUUAGAAAAUCAGCUUUAAAUAAAUGAUUCCGUAAAUCGCAACAAAACAGAAUUCAACUGGGCCAUCGGAACGAGUUCUUCGGGAAUAAUG
This is a long non-coding RNA of Pieris brassicae (large cabbage white), 341 nucleotides long. RefSeq lists it as uncharacterized. NCBI's taxonomy places the organism in Eukaryota, Metazoa, Arthropoda, Insecta, Lepidoptera, Pieridae. The record is from RefSeq and is a predicted model, not a curated record. The transcript has 3 exons.